This 434-nucleotide ribosomal RNA is filed under the name uncultured bacterium. Its description in RNAcentral is "partial 16S ribosomal RNA". It matches the Rfam family "Bacterial small subunit ribosomal RNA", at positions 29 to 507 of the family's 1533-position model. The record is from RNAcentral.
AGCGAACGCUGGCGGCAGGCCUAACACAUGCAAGUCGAACGAACCUUUCGGGGUCAGUGGCGGACGGGUGAGUAACCCGAGGGAACGUGCCCUUAGGUUCGGCCUAACUCAGGGAAACUUGUGCUAAUACCGAAUGUGCCCUUCGGGGGAAAGAUUUAUCGCCUCUAGAGCGGCCCGCGUCAGAUUAGCUAGUUGGUUGAGGUAAUGGCUCACCAAGGCGACGAUCAGUAGCUGGUCUGAGAGGAUGGUCAGCCACAUUGGGACUGAGACACGGCCCAAACUCCUACGGGAGGCAGCAAUGGGGAAUCUUGCGCAAUGGGCGAAAGCCUGACGCAGCCAUGCCGCGUGAAUGAUGAAGGUCUUAGGAUUGUAAAAUUCUUUCACCGAGGACGAUAAUGACGGUACCCGGAGAAGAAGCCCCGGCUAACUUCGUG